CGUACCGACAGCUUUAUCGGGUAAAUACUGAGUCUAAGACUCUUAUCCUAUACCUCAACAUCUGUAAAUAUCAAACAUUUUAUUUUUAAUCAUUUUCGAAAUUUCCAAAAAUUGAAAAAUUUAAAAUAAAUCAAAUCUGUCACUCAAGGGCUUAUAGUCAUAUAACUGUUACUAUGGGUGCUCUUCAUCAAAUCCUGGACUUCAUAACCGGUUCUCAAGUCAGCUAGUUUGGCCGGCUAUAACUUUCAAACAUCGGAAUCAUAAUUAAAUGAUUUAAACAUUAAACAAUUCCAUUAUCAUUAAUAAUUAAUUUAUAUUAAACUAUUAAUGAAACCAUUGCCAAAAUAUAAAAGUUAUUUAUAAUAACUCAAACUAUUUUUAAAACAUUUAUAUUACCCUUAAAUGAUUUUUAAAACAAUUAAAAUCAUUUUUAAAUAAUCACCAUUAAUAUAUAAAUAUUAAUGUACUAUUCAUCCAAAUAUUAAAAGUCAUUAAUUAUAACUUAAAAUAUUUUUAAAUCCUUAAUAUCCUCUUUAAAUGAUUUUUAAAUAAAUAAAACCAUUUUUAAACUAUUUAUUUAAUAAUAAUUAUUAAAUAAACUAAAUAUCAU
Molecule: long non-coding RNA, 610 nt
Filed under: Panax ginseng (ginseng)
Lineage: Eukaryota; Viridiplantae; Streptophyta; Magnoliopsida; Apiales; Araliaceae
Description: long non-coding RNA (PGIN_LNC003721)
Source: RNAcentral